UCGGGUUUCCAGUUUUUCCAUAAGAACUGGUGGUGCGGAUGGGAAACUCUCCCGCCUGGUUUCUUAUUUCCAGUCAAAAAAUAAGUGGUGGAUCCAAAU
This 99-nucleotide non-coding RNA is filed under the name unclassified sequences. The record is from Rfam.